GGAUUGAUUAGAAUCAGCUUCAGGGCAGAAAUAAGCUGUAGAAGUGGCCGCUUGGGGCCCCUGACACCCUGCAAAGCAAGGUACAUUUUAAGAUAAUUGUGACAGAUCACUAGUUCUCUACUGAAGGAGGAAGCGGGGGCCAGGUGAACAAUCCAACGCGCCUUCCAAGACUCUCAAGGACACCUUACAGAUAUAAUCAUGUUUACAAUAAGAAAACAUAAAAGAUAAAAAACCUAAAAUCACAUAUAAAAAUGUGCAUUAUCAUAGGAAUAUAUACCAUCAUAAAAAGAGUUAUUUGUAGUAAGCUCAUUUAAAAAGGUGGGUUUUGAGGAGGGACCUGAAAGUGGAAAGACGAUCACAGUGGUCGUUGAGCAGCACUGCUAAAAGAUCUGGACCCCAUAGAAGUCAGAUGAACCGAAGGUAUCACAAGAGAGAGAGAGGAACAGAAUCUAAGAGUGUGGGUAGGAGAAUAUACAUGAAGAAGAUCGAGAAGAUAGGAAGGUGCUAGAAAAUGAAGAGCCUUGAAGCUCAAUAACAGAAUCUUGUAAUCAAUACGAAGAUUAACAGGGAGCCAGUGAAGUUGUUGAAGAAUAGGAGUUAUAUGGACAGAGUUAGAAGUUUGUGAAAUAAUCUGUGCAUUGAGUUUUGUACCAGCUGUAAUUUAUGCUGAAGUUUUUGUGGUAGACCAAAUAGAAGGGAAUUAUAAUAAUCCAAGCGGGACGUGACCAUGUACGAGAGUGGCAGUGCUGUGAAUUGAGAGGGAGGGGCGAAGAGGGUUUAUGUUCCGCAAAUGGAAAUAAGCAGACCGGGUAAUAUUAUUUACAUGUGCUUCAAAAGAAAGAGUGCUAUCCAGAAUGACACCCAGACUCUUAACUUUCAAACAGGGAAGUAGACUCAGUACCUACAAGAAGAACCUCAGUUUUAUUACUAUUGAGUUUGAGAGAAUUACAAGAAAACCAUGAUUGCAUUUUAAGUAAAAAGUUAUGAAGGGAAGACGGUGGGAGAGAAGAACUUGUUUUGGUGGACAGAUAGAGCUGGGUGUCAUCUGCAUAGCAGAGAAAGUGGAUUCCAAAUUUCCUAAAAAUAUAGCCAAUAGGUAGAAGAUAUUUUAUAAAUAAUAAAGGGCCCAAGACAGAUCCCUGUGGAACACCAGUAGUAACUGGAGAACAAAACUUUUUCAAUUUAACGAACUGAGUGCGAUCAGAGAGAUAAGAUUUAAACAAAGCAAGAGAAGUGCAGCUAAUACCAAUGGAUGCUAAUCUCUACCCCACCUCCGGUGAACCUGGGGGAGAGACGAGGGGAGGCGUGGGGAUAGUGAAAUGGUGAGCAGAGACACACUGAGAGAGAGAGAGAGAGAGAGAGAGAGAGAAAACUUGCUCGCCGGCUCCCAGACGUGCUGUCAAAGAGUCUUGGCCACUGCAAUUUAGAACGUUUAUAUUUACAUUGAUGAGGGUGGCUUCAACCUAGCCAAAAGAAAGGGAUGGGGACGGAACUUUAUUGGCCAACGUGCCAUUGUGGCUGUCCCUGGACAGCGUGGAGGAAAUAUCACCAUAUGCGCAGCCAUUAUCCAGCAAGGCAUCCUCCAUCACCAUCCCAACCAUGGUCCCUACAACACCGCCCUUCUCAUCACAUUCCUGGUCACACUACAUGGCAUCCUAAUUCCAGCCAAGCAGAGGGGUGAACCACAGCAGCCCAGGUAUGUUGUCAUCUGGGACAACGUGAGUUUCCACUGGGCUGCUCUGGUCCGCAACUGGUUCAUCGACCACCCACAAUUUAUUGUUCUAUACCUCCGACCAUAUUACCCAUUCCUAAACCCAAUUGAAGAGUUGUUUUUUUUUUGGCAUAGCAAUGGAAGGUGUAUGACCACCAUCCCCUCGCACGCGCGCCUCAUCUCCAGGCAAUGUGGUGAAGUUGAUGUGGGGGCUUUCGGCAGCUGGAUUCGUCACUCCAAAAGAUUCUUUACCCACUGUUAGCAAGGAAGAACAUUGCUUGUGAUGUAGAUGAGGUGCUGUGACCAAAAUAGGAGGCAAGAUGCAGCCUAAUUUCUUUUUUUUUACAUUUUGCAUGUGUUUUUGUGUUUAGAGUUUUGAAAGAAUGAACCACUUUCAUUUUUUUUUUCGUACAGAAACCCCUUUAUCUUACUGAAUGUUUUUCCUGUUGGGAAUGGAAAGUGUUACAUACGAAACACAAGUGUUCAAAAAUACUGCAUUUUGGAAAUAAUUAACAAUGUUUUUGUUACUGUUUUACAUUUAUGUGUUUAUUUAUGUAUAUUUGAGUAGGUAUACAUUACUAUAAUAAUCUUUUACAACCGGCUACAAUGUAACUCUAACAAUGCAAAAGGGAUAAACCUACUGAUGGAAUCUUCAUAUCAGUGUGUGUCAUUUUGAUGCCAAAAAAAUAGUAAAAUAAUUUUGGAAAGAGAUAAAAUAGUUUUGAAUGCAGUGUUUUCUUUUGCUAGAGAUUCAGCAAACGCGUGUAAAUAAUUGGUAAAACUGUAUAAACCCCAAUUUUGACACUGUAUGGCACACACAUGUUUCAUAAGAUCUGAUUCUGUUUGAACCAGUUACAAUCUAAAACACUUCUCCUUUCAUGAUAUAUGAUAUGGGUUUGAUUUUUUCAGAGUUAUUGUUAGAGUAAAGUGCAUGAAUAUAUUGACCAAACACAACACACAUGUCCAGUACUGCACACUGAUGAAAGUAUUUAUUUCUCUCCACAUAUUAAAAUCAGUCAAUACAUACAUACAUUUCCAAAGGUUGCAUUUGCUGAAAAUCAGAACAGAACAUAUUCUAAAUAGAAUAGUACAUAUAGUAAACACAGCGGAUGAUGAAGAGGUGCCAGCAGUCAGGUUGCAGGGGCAUCAUUUUGAAUGCCAAUGUUAUGUUGACUUUAUCAAGCCACACCUCCCUACUUACUGUUUUGAUCAAUAAAAUUGCUUAAUCAACAUUGUGAUAGCGGAGGAACUAUUCGUUAAUAGAGAUGAGACUGUUGAAGCUCGGAUGAGAUCCUUUGUGGGGGGCUGAGAGAUCGAUUAUGAGAUGCUUUUUCCCCGAAACUUUUCUAGUAGCUACUCUAGGUUGAUAUGGAAAUUCUUGAAUUCUUGACUGGACUUCUGAGAGUGUGUGUGUGUGUGUGUGUGUGUGUGAGUGAAAGAGAGAGAGCGAGAUUGAGAGAGUGUGUGGGUGGGUUUGGGUGGUUUACGAGGACAUUUUUUCAGGUUGCAAUCUGAUAAUUACAAGGGUACUAUGUUUUAAAUGUGGCUUAACAUUGUGGCUUAAUAAAUGAGGACAUUUCUAGUGUCCCCAUAAUUCAAAUAGCUUAAAAAACAUACUCAUAGAAUCUAUCUAUCGUACAGUAUAAAACUCAUUAUGUCUAUGGAGAGUCAUCAUAAGUAUGGCCGCACUAACGUGUGUGUGUGUGUGUGUGUAACAAAACUGAGAAAAGUUUAUCUUUAAGGUUGCAUAUAUGACAUGUGUAACUGUAAAAAUGUGUAUGUGUAAUAUUGUGUAUUAACCAUUUUUCUUCCCUUAAUCUGGCAAAGUAUCUAUGGGGAUACGCUCCCUUCAUGGCUAGACUGGUAAUCUGGCAUACCGGGAGAUUCAGCUCCAUUGUUCCCGGUGGACUGACGAAAUUUGGAGGCAAUCAGGGGAGGACCAGCCAUCUGGAAACCCGAGUGGGCCGGUUUGUCGGCUGCGAAAUGGGCAGAAUGGACCACAAAAUGGGACCACGAUAUGCAGAAAAGGACAGCGAACACCCAACCAUAAAAGUAGUUCUGAUAUAUAACCUGGUGCUAAAAAAUUUAAAGAUUUAUAAACCAGAAGUAGGAUCUUAAAGUCAAUUAAUUGAUGAACUGGCAGCCAAUGCAAUGAUAUUAAAACUGGUGUACUGCGUUCCAGUUUCCUAACUCCAGUUAAAAACCUAGCAGAUGCAUUUUGCACCGUCUGUAGGCGGGAAAGAGAUGCUUGGCUGAUUCCCCUGUAUAUGGCGUUACAGUAAUCGAUCCUAGUCGUAAUCACAUCAUGGAUAGCCUUUUCCAGGUUUGUAAAUGAAAGAAAGGGUUUUACUUUGGCCAGUGAUCUAUGAUGGGAAACAAUAGACUUAACAACAUGAUUAACCUGUUUGUUCAGCUUAAGUACUGAUGACACUAAUUUUGGUGUCAUCAGUAUAACAAUGAUAUGAAAUAUUAUGUUCCUUAAAAAUUGACCUCAGUGGCAACAUUUACAGGGAGAACAGAAUUGGAGCAAGAAUCGAUCCUUGAGGGAUAAAACACGUCAGUAGAGCUGAGUUAAUAGUCUGCUCCAUGCCAGAUCACAGCCAUGCCUGAGUCUGCUCCACGCCAGGUCACAGCCAUGCCUGAGUCUGCUCCACGCCAGGUCACAGCCAUGCCUGAGUCUGCUCCACGCCAGGUCACAGCCAUAACUGAGUCUGCUCCAGGCCAGGUCACAGCCUGAGUCUGCUCCACGCCAGGUCACAGCCAUGCCUGAGUCUGCUCCAUGCCAGUUCACAGUCAUGCCUGAGUCUGCUCCACGACAGGUCACAGCCAUGCCUGAGUCUGCUCCACGCCAGGUCACAGCCAUGCCUGAUUCUGCUCCAUGCCAUGUCACAGCCAUGCCUGAGUCUGCUCCAUGCCAGGUCACAGCCUGAAUCUG
Long non-coding RNA from Xyrauchen texanus (razorback sucker), 4646 nucleotides. RefSeq lists it as uncharacterized. The transcript is spliced from 4 exons. The record is from RefSeq and is a predicted model, not a curated record. Lineage: Eukaryota; Metazoa; Chordata; Actinopteri; Cypriniformes; Catostomidae.